UAUAAUUUUGUUUUGUUUUUGCUAUAUUACUUGGUACAUUCACCUUUGUCUUAGAACUGAUGAACUCCCUUAUGCAGUCAGACCCGUACUGUAGACAGCCUCCAAAAAAUAUAACCUGCUUACUAUGGUCACACGUCACCUGUCUUGAGAAAAUAUAUGUUUUCACAAAUACCGGCAUUUUUCAGUCCCCAAGGGAGGUUCUGCAGCCGGGUUUGACUGUAUAUAUAUAUAAAUACCCUAGCACCCACCCAUAAAUUAAACGUAUCAACGUUACAUUGUUUAUCAAUUGUUAAUCUGUAGACACUUAUAAAAGACUUACUGCAGCAUAACAGGCAAUUAAAAGGCAAAUUAUAUAACGCUGUGAAUAGAGUUUGACAAUAUUUAAGCAUUGAUUUUCAGUACUGUGGUUUUAUUGGAUCGGUUUGGAGAAUUAAACUAGGUACAAAUUUGGUGCGGUCGAGAAUUAUGGCUGUUCAAAUACGCCUUGCGUAUAUUGUCAUCCUACUUACCAUUUUGAAUCUCACGCUGUGCCUACCUUUUAGUCAUGUUGGUCCUCGCGGUUCUCCUAUUGGUCUUCAAAGUAACUUGGUUUCCUCAAAGGAAGAAAUGUUUCUUACACGUGUGCGCAGGCAUCUACACAAAGAUGCAAGCCAGCAGAUGAAUGUGGUUCUGCAGACGACAGAAUAAUGAAGAACAUAUUUCAACGAAGGCUAACAAGACAUUCUAGAUAACUAACAAGUAGACAUGUAAAGAGUUUAGCUGCAACCCUGAAGAAAUAUUAAACAUUGACAAAUAUACAUUCAUAAAGUGUAUUGAGAGCGAUCGUGAACACUGACAAAUAUACAUUCAAUAAAUACAUUGAACGUGAUCGUGGUAUGUGUUUUAACAAAUAUAGUAGUAUGUAUCGUCAUUUCAAAAUAAUCAUGACUGUUCUCUGUACAUUCAAAAAGUUCUAUUUAACUGUUUUAAACAAAGAUUAACAACUAAACUAUUUUAAACUUUUGCAGUAGUUUACCUGUCAAUAUUAUCAUACUUUUUGUAAUUUGACAUUCCACUUCUUCAGUUUGGAACAGGCUUUUGUCUUAAACUAACUGUAUAUACAUGCUAUAACAGUUUAGCCAUAUAAUUCUGUUGAAUAAAGUUAGCAAGAAG
This is a long non-coding RNA of Mercenaria mercenaria, 1152 nucleotides long. RefSeq lists it as uncharacterized. Lineage: Eukaryota; Metazoa; Mollusca; Bivalvia; Venerida; Veneridae. The record is from RefSeq and is a predicted model, not a curated record. The transcript is spliced from 2 exons.